GCCGGGUGUUGUGGUUCACGCCUGUAAUCCAGCGGCUCUGGAGGCUGAGACAGGAGGAUAGUGAUUUCAAAGCCAGCCUCAGCAACAGCAAGUCACUAAGCAGCUCAGUGAGACCCUGUCUCU
RNAcentral lists this small RNA (123 nucleotides) under Marmota monax (woodchuck). The record is from RNAcentral. Lineage: Eukaryota; Metazoa; Chordata; Mammalia; Rodentia; Sciuridae.